AUACCGGGCCUUUUUGGGCUUGGUAAUUGGAAUGGGGGAGAGUUAAACGAACCAUCGAGUAUCCAUUGGAGGGCAUCUGGUGCCAGCAGCUGCGGUAAUACCAGCUCCAAUAGCGUAUAUUAAAGUUGUUGCAGUUAAAAAGCUCGUAGUUGGACUUGUGUGCGCUGUCCGCGGGUGGCCUGCGCCCAAAAGGGCGUUUCGGUUCGGCCCCGGUGGCGCCUUGAAAUCUGCAGCUGGGGGGACGUUGGCCUUAACUGGUCGGCGACCGCACGCCGGCUGCUCGGUUACUGUGAAAAAUUAGAGUGUUCAAGGCAGGCAUUGGGUGCAAUUGAAUACAUUAGCAUGGAAUAAUAAAAUAUGGCUCCUGCCGUAUUUUGUUGGUUUUGACUGGUGGGAGUAAUGAUUGAUAGGGACGGUUGGGGGUGCUAGUAUUGAGCGGCCAGAGGUGAAAUUCAUGGAUUCGCUCAAGACUAACUUAUGCGAAAGCAUUCACCAAGGACGUCCUCUUUAAUCAAGAACGAAAGUUGGGGGAUCGAAGACGAUCAGAUACCGUCGUAGUCUCAACCAUAAACUAUGUCGACUUGGGAUCGGCGGUAGUUUUUUCACUAAGACACUGUCGGGACCACGGGAGAAAUCAAAGUGUCUGGACUCUGGGGGAAGUAUGGUCGCAAGGCUGAAACUUGAAGGAAUUGACGGAAGGGCACCACCAGGAGUGGAGCCUGCGGCUUAAUUUGACCCAACACGGGGAAACUUACCAGGUCCAGAGAUGUAGAGGAUUGACAGAUUGAAGCUCUUUCUUGAUCACUUCGGUGGUGGUGCAUGGCCGUUCUUAGUUGGUGGAGUGAUUUGUCUGGUUAAUUCCGUUAACGAACGAGACCUCAGCCUGCUAGUGUAGUCGGCUGGAUUGCCUUUGGCGAUCCGUGAUUUCGACUUCUUAGAGGGACAAUCGACGCGCAGUCGAUGGAAGUUUGAGGCAAUAACAGGUCUGUGAUGCCCUUAGAUGUUCUGGGCCGCACGCGCGCUACACUGCUGGGCUCAGCGAGUUUUACUUGGCCGAGAGGCCCGGUUAAUCUUGUGAAAUCCCAGCGUGCUUGGUCUCGCCUCCUGCAACUGGAGGCGCCAACGAGGAAUUCCUAGUAGACGCAGGUCAUCAACCUGCAUCGAUUACGUCCCUGCCCUUUGUACACACCGCCCGUCGUUCCAUAAGAGUGAGGCAUCCGGUGAAUUCUCGGGAGAGCCUGGCGUGGCCAGCAAUGGUCUGCUCGGGUUUGAACUUGCAUAAACUUGGUGCCUAUGAUUAGGGAAAAGUCGUAACAAGGU
This 1320-nucleotide ribosomal RNA is filed under the name metagenome. RNAcentral's name for it is "SSU rRNA". It matches the Rfam family "Eukaryotic small subunit ribosomal RNA", at positions 483 to 1800 of the family's 1831-position model. The record is from RNAcentral.